This is an RNA transcript of Glycine soja, 3198 nucleotides long. It is a transcript of the gene named calcium-dependent protein kinase 26-like, with no coding region annotated. The transcript has 4 exons. Lineage: Eukaryota; Viridiplantae; Streptophyta; Magnoliopsida; Fabales; Fabaceae. The record is from RefSeq and is a predicted model, not a curated record.
ACGAUAAUCCAAAUUCAGAGGAAGGAGUAAUGCUCCUUCUCAUUUUGAAAAGACAGAACCGAGCAGAACCAAACAAACGAGAGCAACGGUUUUAGCUUCGGCGAAAGCUUUGGUCGGGGUUGGGGGUCCCGAGCCACUGCUCCAACGGAUUCCCUCUCUUCUGUCUUUCUUCAUUUCCUCGGGUCCCUCUCUCUCUCUCUCUCUCUCACACACACACACACGCACACGCUUCUGUUUUCCAAUUUCAACUUUUUAUUGGUAAUUGUUAAAUUUUGACAACUGUUAUUUGAUCUGGGGUUGCCAAGUUUCGACUGAAUUUUAAUGGGUUUGUGCUGUUUUUAGUUUUUUUUUUUCUUUUGUUCAUGCCUUCUGGGUAUUUUUUUUGUCACUUUAGAGUUUAUUAAUGGUCGUUUAUGUUUUUAUUGAUCAUUCUGAUUGAAAUUUGUUGUUAGGAAUCUAAUCCGUUCAUUUUUUUUUGUUUAAUUAUUUUGUGGGGAUUUGCUAGAAUCUGUUUUCAGUCUUUUAUGAAAUUUAAAGCUGGGGGAGCUCAAAACUUUAAUUAUAUUAACUUUUUGAUCUAAUUCAGAAGUAAUUACUUGGUGUAUACAUAGUUUUUUUUUUGUUUACCUUAAUUAGCGAUUUAGCUAUUUCGCAAUAGAAGUCUCAUUUUCUUUGUUUUUGAAGAUAAACUGAUUUGGGAAGGGGAGAAGUGUUCUUGGCUAAGUCAAUUUUUCGCUUUUUCUGUCUUUUACUUGUCAAAUUCAUGGUAUUCUGUGCCUAACAGCUGUAGUAAAUGUCUUUAUCGAAUAUUUAUCAACCAAGUUAAGAUCCUUCUGGGAUUUUGACCUGAAGUGAGGUUUCGGUGAAUGGCGGUGUAAACAAGAUCAAAUUUGGUAUUGGUGUUUAGUAAUCUUAUUUUGUCAAAGUGAUCAUCCCUAUCUCCCAAACCAGAUCUUUCUGAAAGAGAUUUUUUAGGGUAAACAUAUUCUACUGAUUUUUGUGGGUUUGUAGCGGGAUUAGAACAUUGUUAUGGCUGUUGCCAAGAGCAACAGCGGCAGUGGACAUUCAACUUCAUAUAAUUGUUACAAAGUAGCAAGCUUAACCGAAACCAUAUUAGACACGAAUCAAAUCUGUAAUUUGAAAGAUCAAUACGUUCUUGGAGAGCAGUUGGGUUGGGGACAAUUUGGUGUCAUAAGAGCAUGCUCUGACAAGCUGACUGGAGAGGCUUUGGCCUGCAAAUCUAUUGCUAAAGAUAGGUUAGUUACUUCUGAUGAUUGGCAGAGUGUUAAACUCGAGAUUGAGAUAAUGACUAGGUUAUCUGGGCACCCAAAUGUUGUAGAUCUCAAGGCAGUUUAUGAAGAAGAGGAUUUUGUUCAUCUAGUGAUGGAGCUUUGUGCUGGAGGAGAGUUGUUUCAUCUGUUAGAAAAGCACGGAUGGUUUUCUGAAUUUGAAGCCAGGGUCUUUUUAGGCAUCUCAUGCAGAUGGUUUUGUAUUGUCAUGAAAACGAGGUUGUUCAUAGAGAUUUGAAGCCUGAGAACAUUCUCUUGGCAACUAGAUCUUCCUCAUCUCCAAUUAAAUUGGCAGACUUUGGGCUUGCAACCUACAUAAAGCCCGGACAGAGUUUGCAUGGGUUAGUUGGGAGUCCAUUCUAUAUAGCUCCAGAGGGACUGGCAGGUGCAUAUAACCAGGCUGCUGAUGUUUGGAGUGCAGGGGUUAUUCUUUACAUUCUACUGAGUGGGAUGCCUCCAUUUUGGGGAAAGACAAAGUCAGGAAUAUUUGAAGUUGCUAAGACUGCUAACCUGAGGUUCCCACCUGAGCCUUGGAUUGCAUUUCCGAAUCAGCUAAGGAUUUGAUUAUGUGAAUGCUCUGCAGAGAAUCUUCUCAAAGGCUCACUUCCAAGGAGGUUUUGGAUCAUCACUGGAUGGAAAGCAACCAAACAAAUCCUGAACAACUAAGUGAACACAAAAUUAGAGGUUGUGGAGAGUUGGAUGUUGGUAGCAAUUCAUUCUCUACCUCGUUUAUGUCCAGGAAUAAGGACAUCAGCUUUGGCGCUGAAUCUCCUACAUGUGGCCCUCAAUUGCCUAUGUUCACAUGCAAAUCAUCAUUUUCUUCCUUUUUUGAGGAACCAGUGAAACCUUGUUCUGUUUCGGGUGGAUUUUCAUUUCAAAGCUCAGGUGGUUCCACCGAUUUGGAAUUUUCUUCUACUAUUCCCUCAAUGCCUAGCUUUGCAUUUCUCAGCUCCAGUUCUGUUGUUGAGCAAAGGGUUUGUAUUUCAGAAUGCCUAACUAACACGUCAAAUGUAAAUGCAAUUGCUGGAGAUUCUCCCCUUUGCUUUGGACAUGAUGUUAAAGAGUUGGAUUGCAAGCCUGUAGAGGGUAAAAGGGCAGGUGGAACAAUUGGUCUUGGGGCAUUUGGGUUCCACAACAAGAGAAACCAGACAAUUGGACUUGGUGAGUGUGAGCAACUUGAUCUUGUGGUGACUGAAUCUGUCAUUCGUUGGUCAUCAUGCACCCAACUUCCUACAUCACCAAGAUCAUCUCUCGUCUGUUGAAAGGGUAAACUUCUGGAGAGAUUAAUUGAAUAGCCUGAUGUUGCGAUUAAAUUUGGUUUACCGAUGCAAAUUCACCUAACACAUUGUAUGUGUUUCCCAAAUUCACAUUGUUGUUGAUGUUGUCUGGUUGGUGCAAGUUUGUGGUUCAGGACUCGUCAGUUUAAUCACGUGGUGGCUUCUAAUUGCUCACUAUUAAUGUGUUCCUUUCUUCUUUAUUCAGCUUCCCAUGUUAAUUACCAUGCAUGAAUGCGAGUAAUAGGAAUUCUGCCUGGUGUGUAAAGUUUGUAUCUUGAUGGUACUCCAAAAUGUUUGGAAAUGAAUUGUUAAUUAUUGUGUCGAAUUAUUAUACUUUUGAUUCAAUUUUGAGGUGAGGAACAAACAGUUUAACUUGAAAUGAGAGGUCCACUGUACAGUCCAUUGAAGCAUAUAUGUAUAUGUAUAUGUAGUAAAGAGCACCAUGCCUAUCCACUGGGCAAAUCAAGCCAUUCUCAAAGCAAAAUGCCCGUUGCUCAUUUCUAUGCCUUGCAUCUGCUCACAUAACCAUGUGGUAGUAGAAUGAGUGAUAGCUUUCACAAAAUGAGGUGAGACUAGCUAUAAUUAUGUAAAUGUGAAGUGAUGUGCCUAUAAUUGUCUAUUUGUGUACAAAA